AUUGAACGCUGGCGGCAUGCUUUACACAUGCAAGUCGAACGGCAGCGCGGGCUUCGGCCUGGCGGCGAGUGGCGAACGGGUGAGUAAUACAUCGGAACGUGCUCAGUAGUGGGGGAUAGCUCGGCGAAAGCCGGAUUAAUACCGCAUACGACCUGAGGGUGAAAGCGGGGGAUCUUCGGACCUCGCGCUAUUGGAGCGGCCGAUGGCAGAUUAGCUAGUUGGUGGGGUAAAGGCCUACCAAGGCGACGAUCUGUAGCUGGUCUGAGAGGACGACCAGCCACACUGGGACUGAGACACGGCCCAGACUCCUACGGGAGGCAGCAGUGGGGAAUUUUGGACAAUGGGCGAAAGCCUGAUCCAGCAAUGCCGCGUGUGUGAUGAAGGCCUUCGGGUUGUAAAGCACUUUUGGCGGGAACGAAAAGGACUGUGCCAAUACCACGGUUCGAUGACGGUACCCGCAGAAUAAGCACCGGCUAACUACGUG
This 484-nucleotide ribosomal RNA is filed under the name uncultured bacterium. Its description in RNAcentral is "partial 16S ribosomal RNA". It matches the Rfam family "Bacterial small subunit ribosomal RNA", at positions 29 to 507 of the family's 1533-position model. The record is from RNAcentral.